UCGCUCGCUCUAGGGGAAGCCAGCCGCCGAGUCUUGAGGACUCUCAGCAGCCUGUGCAGAAGCCCACAGAGAAGAACCACCUGCCGGCCACGUGGAUGGGUCACCUCCAGCGUGCCACAUCUGACCGCCUCAACAGAGAGCCACCUGCCAGAACCGCCCAACUGAGCCCUGAAGCCUAACGCACAAGAACCAUGAGGAGAAGAGAUGCCCCACUUUAUGGACUUAAGCAACAUCCCUGUGUGCAUGGAGCUCAGCGGCGGGCGGCGAGCAGAGAUAGAGGACCUAGCGCCCUGUCCCUCAGCUGAUCACCUGUCCCCGCCGAUGGCCACGCCCUCGUAGACGCCAUCCGUGGUCCGAGAGAUGAUAUUGUUGAGCUCGUUGGACAUGCCGCCCGAACGCGAGACAUAGGCCACGCUGCCGGGGCGGUACAGCUUGGAGGCCAGGAUGUUGUCCAGCAUCCCACCCGUGUUCCCGAUCUUAAAGCACCCGGGCUUGAUGCCACCAACCUGCAGGGGCGGAAACCGCGGUCAGGGAGGAGGGUGGGCUGAUUGACCAUAGAGCUCGGGGGGUGGUCACAGAGCCCGGGAUUACCCGCCCAGCCCACCC
Orcinus orca (killer whale) is the source of this 606-nucleotide long non-coding RNA. RefSeq lists it as uncharacterized. Lineage: Eukaryota; Metazoa; Chordata; Mammalia; Artiodactyla; Delphinidae. The record is from RefSeq and is a predicted model, not a curated record. The transcript is spliced from 2 exons.